UCAGCCAAACGAGGCACGGCAAACAGCUCAGUAACACGUGGCUAAUCUGCCCUUAGGACGCGAACAACCCCGGGAAACUGGGGCUAAUUCUCGAUAGGUGAAGAACUCUGGAAUGAGUCUUUGCCUAAAAGAGCUUACGUUAUGCUCGUAAGUUUCGCCUAAGGAUGAGGCCGCGACCGAUCAGGUUGUUGGUGAGGUAAUGGCUCACCAAGCCUUUUACCGGUGCGGGCCGUGAGAGCGGGAGCCCGGAGAUGGGCACUGAGACAAGGGCCCAGGCCCUACGGGGCGCAGCAGUCGCGAAAACUUUGCAAUACACGAAAGUGUGACAGGGCUAUCCCGAGUGCCAUCCGCUGAGGAAGGCUUUUACCCAGUCUAGAACGCUGGGGGAAUAAGGAGAGGGCAAGUCUGGUGUCAGCCGCCGCGGUAAUACCAGCUCUCCGAGUGGUGUGGAUGUUUAUUGGGCCUAAAGCAUCCGUAGCUGGCUAGGUAAGUCCCCUGUUAAAUCCACCGAAUUAAUCGUUGGAUCGCGGGGGAUACUGCUUGGCUAGGGGACGAGAGAGGCAGACGGUAUUUUUGGGGUAGGGGUGAAAUCCUAUAAUCCCAGGAAGACCACCAGUGGCGAAGGCUGUCUGCUAGAACGCGCCCGACGGUGAGGGAUGAAAGCUGGGGGAGCGAACCGGAUUAGAUACCCGGGUAGUCCCAGCUGUAAACGAUGCAGACUAGGUGUUUGGACGGCCACGUGCCGUUCUAGUGCCGCAGGGAAGCUGUUAAGUCUGCCGCCUGGGGAGUACGAUCGCAAGAUUGAAACUUAA
RNAcentral lists this ribosomal RNA (812 nucleotides) under uncultured crenarchaeote. Its description in RNAcentral is "bacterial SSU rRNA". It matches the Rfam family "Archaeal small subunit ribosomal RNA", at positions 67 to 859 of the family's 1478-position model. The record is from RNAcentral. Lineage: Archaea; Thermoproteati; Thermoproteota.